ACCCCUGGAUGAGAAAUGAAGGCA
Molecule: microRNA, 24 nt
Filed under: Zea mays
Lineage: Eukaryota; Viridiplantae; Streptophyta; Magnoliopsida; Poales; Poaceae
Description: microRNA miR-3103
Source: RNAcentral